GAUGAACGCCGGCGGCGUGCCUAAUACAUGCAAGUCGAGCGAACGGACGAGAAGCUUGCUUCUCUGAUGUUAGCGGCGGACGGGUGAGUAACACGUGGAUAACCUACCUAUAAGACUGGGAUAACUUCGGGAAACCGGAGCUAAUACCGGAUAAUAUUUUGAACCGCAUGGUUCAAAAGUGAAAGACGGUCUUGCUGUCACUUAUAGAUGGAUCCGCGCUGCAUUAGCUAGUUGGUAAGGUAACGGCUUACCAAGGCAACGAUGCAUAGCCGACCUGAGAGGGUGAUCGGCCACACUGGAACUGAGACACGGUCCAGACUCCUACGGGAGGCAGCAGUAGGGAAUCUUCCGCAAUGGGCGAAAGCCUGACGGAGCAACGCCGCGUGAGUGAUGAAGGUCUUCGGAUCGUAAAACUCUGUUAUUAGGGAAGAACAUAUGUGUAAGUAACUGUGCACGUCUUGACGGUACCUAAUCAGAAAGCCACGGCUAACUACGUG
Molecule: ribosomal RNA, 497 nt
Filed under: uncultured bacterium
Lineage: Bacteria
Description: partial 16S ribosomal RNA
Rfam family: Bacterial small subunit ribosomal RNA
Source: RNAcentral